AUUGAACGCUGGCGGCAGGCUUAACACAUGCAAGUCGAGCGGGGGAAGGUAGCUUGCUACCGGACCUAGCGGCGGACGGGUGAGUAAUGCUUAGGAAUCUGCCUAUUAGUGGGGGACAACAUCUCGAAAGGGAUGCUAAUACCGCAUACGUCCUACGGGAGAAAGCAGGGGAUCUUCGGACCUUGCGCUAAUAGAUGAGCCUAAGUCGGAUUAGCUAGUUGGGGGGGUAAAGGCCUACCAAGGCGACGAUCUGUAGCGGGUCUGAGAGGAUGAUCCGCCACACUGGGACUGAGACACGGCCCAGACUCCUACGGGAGGCAGCAGUGGGGAAUAUUGGACAAUGGGGGGAACCCUGAUCCAGCCAUGCCGCGUGUGUGAAGAAGGCCUUAUGGUUGUAAAGCACUUUAAGCGAGGAGGAGGCUACUCUAGUUAAUACCUAGGGAUAGUGGACGUUACUCGCAGAAUAAGCACCGGCUAACUUCGUGCCAGCCGCCGCCGUAA
This 501-nucleotide ribosomal RNA is filed under the name uncultured bacterium. RNAcentral's name for it is "partial 16S ribosomal RNA". It matches the Rfam family "Bacterial small subunit ribosomal RNA", at positions 30 to 523 of the family's 1533-position model. The record is from RNAcentral.